UUGCAAUGCAUGUAUUCUGUCUUUAUUCUACUUAACUUAAACCCUUUGACUCUAGUAUAAUUAUGAAUGUGUAUUUUCUUUUAAAAUAUAUGCUUUACAUGUUAAUGUCCUAAUGAAUACUUAACAAAUUUUUAGUAUUAUUUUUUAAUAUUUGUUGAAUUACUAUAUUAGAAUUAACAUCGACUCUUUAAUACUUAAAAUUAAAUUCAAACUGUAUUAAAAAUAAACAAACUGUAAUAUUUUGAUUUGGUUUAAUUUGAUUUUUAUAUAUAAAUGGUUUGGUUUGGUUUGGUUUCAAAAAAGUAUCAAAUCAUAUUUUUCAGUUUGGUUUGAAAAUACUCUGAACUGCACCAAACCGAGCCAUGCGCUCCAAGUGUU
This 378-nucleotide unclassified non-coding RNA is filed under the name Hevea brasiliensis (rubber tree). The record is from RNAcentral. Lineage: Eukaryota; Viridiplantae; Streptophyta; Magnoliopsida; Malpighiales; Euphorbiaceae.